UCUCUGGUAGUAUAUCGGUUAGUACACGCGCCUGUCAUAGCUGGUAUGGUUAAGGUUUUCGCGCGAAAGCUGGGUUCGACUCCCAUUCAGAGAG
Non-coding RNA from Desarmillaria ectypa, 94 nucleotides. Lineage: Eukaryota; Fungi; Basidiomycota; Agaricomycetes; Agaricales; Physalacriaceae. The record is from the annotation of a GenBank genome assembly.